This 158-nucleotide non-coding RNA is filed under the name human oral metagenome. The record is from RNAcentral.
GACCAUGUCGUGGCUAAGAGGGAAAUGGGUGAAAAUCCCAUGCGGUCCCGCCGCUGUAAGUGUAUGAAUGCAACUAUCAGAUUUAUUACGAAUCGAAAACCACUGGAAACGGGAAGGUGAUAGUUGUUUAACACGAGCCAGAAGACCUGCAUUUGGUG